Molecule: non-coding RNA, 434 nt
Organism: Tetranychus urticae (two-spotted spider mite)
Lineage: Eukaryota; Metazoa; Arthropoda; Arachnida; Trombidiformes; Tetranychidae
Source: RefSeq, a predicted model, not a curated record
UUUUCUUUUAUUGAUAGCUUGAAAAAUUAACAAUAAAACUUCACCAGUUAUCCUGCAAGAAUAAGUUUUCAUUGGGAACAGCAAGUAAAAUUUCAGAGUUGAUGGAUCGGGCUGCUGGACCAUAUAAUGGCUUGAAAAUCGGAGACUUUGUAACUCUUGAGAAAAGAUUUUUCAUUUUGUUUAUCGUAGAAAACAUAUCACUCUUGAUGCUAUUCACGGUUAACAUUGGACCUUUGAUGAAGUGAAAUCGUGAAUUCAAAGAAUAAGCGAAUGCUGAGAAGUGAUUAAUGGACGACUUUUUCCAAAACUUUUUUAUUCCAAACACGAACCAAUUUACGUACUUCAACUUCAUACAAAACAAUGUAGAGCUCAUUUCAUGAUCAAGUUAAUGCAUAAAUGUAUUGUUAACACACUUGUUAUUAAAUAUUAUUAGA